This 542-nucleotide ribosomal RNA is filed under the name Leptolyngbya tenerrima BTA766. RNAcentral's name for it is "bacterial SSU rRNA". It matches the Rfam family "Bacterial small subunit ribosomal RNA", at positions 122 to 704 of the family's 1533-position model. Lineage: Bacteria; Bacillati; Cyanobacteriota; Cyanophyceae; Leptolyngbyales; Leptolyngbyaceae. The record is from RNAcentral.
GAACGUACUUGAUGGGGCACAGUUGGAACGACUGCUAAUACCGAAUGUGCCUUAGGGUGAAAGAUUUAUUGUCUAGAGAUUGGCUCGCGUCAGAUUAGCUAGUUGGAGUGGUAACGGCACACCAAGGCGACGAUCUGUACUUGGUCUGAGAGGAUGACCAGGCACACUGGAACUGAGACACGGUCCAGACUCCUACGGGAGGCAGCAGUGGGGAAUUUUCCGCAAUGGGCGAAAGCCUGACGGAGCAAUACCGCGUGAGGGAGGACGGCUUUUGGGUUGUAAACCUCUUUUAUCAGGGAAGAAUCGAUGACGGUACCUGAUGAAUCAGCAUCGGCUAACUCCGUGCCAGCAGCCGCGGUAAUACGGAGGAUGCAAGCGUUAUCCGGAAUUAUUGGGCGUAAAGCGUCCGUAGGUGGUUUAUCAAGUCUGCUGUCAAAGCGUGCGGCUUAACCGCAUAAGGGCAGUGGAAACUGAUGAACUAGAGUGCGAUAGGGGUAACAGGAAUUCCCAGUGUAGCGGUGAAAUGCGUAGAUAUUGGGAAG